UGGGGAAUUUUGGACAAUGGGCGCAAGCCUGAUCCAGCCAUGCCGCGUGAGUGAAGAAGGCCUUCGGGUUGUAAAGCUCUUCGCGAGGGAAGAAAAGGCCGCAGAUAAUACCUGUGGUCCAUGACGGUACUUUGAUAAGAAGCACCGGCUAACUACGUGCCAGCAGCCGCGGUAAUACGUAGGGUGCGAGCGUUAAUCGGAAUUACUGGGCGUAAAGCGAGCGCAGGCGGUUCUAAAAGCCAGAUGUGAAAUCCCCGAGCUCAACUUGGGAACUGCGUUUGGAACUCUAGGACUAGAGUGUGUCAGAGGGAGGUAGAAUUCCACGUGUAGCAGUGAAAUGCGUAGAGAUGUGGAGGAACACCGAUGGCGAAGGCAGCCUCCUGGGAUAACACUGACGCUCAUGCUCGAAAGCGUGGGAGCAAA
This 423-nucleotide ribosomal RNA is filed under the name uncultured bacterium. RNAcentral's name for it is "bacterial SSU rRNA". It matches the Rfam family "Bacterial small subunit ribosomal RNA", at positions 355 to 772 of the family's 1533-position model. The record is from RNAcentral.